CAAUAAAUGCAUAAGUACAACACGCAAUGAUAGAUGAUA
RNAcentral lists this non-coding RNA (39 nucleotides) under Trypanosoma vivax. Lineage: Eukaryota; Euglenozoa; Kinetoplastea; Trypanosomatida; Trypanosomatidae. The record is from RNAcentral.